Dermacentor andersoni is the source of this 74-nucleotide non-coding RNA. NCBI's taxonomy places the organism in Eukaryota, Metazoa, Arthropoda, Arachnida, Ixodida, Ixodidae. The record is from the annotation of a RefSeq genome assembly.
GGCCUGCUAGCUCAGCCGGUUAGAGCGUUGCGCUAAGAACGCGAAGGUCGUAGGUUCGAUCCGUGCGCAGGCCA